Arachis duranensis is the source of this 1338-nucleotide long non-coding RNA. RefSeq lists it as uncharacterized. The record is from RefSeq and is a predicted model, not a curated record. NCBI's taxonomy places the organism in Eukaryota, Viridiplantae, Streptophyta, Magnoliopsida, Fabales, Fabaceae. The transcript has 6 exons.
GAGAGAGAGAGAGAGAGAGAGAGAGAGGAGCUACCCACGAUAGCUGCCGUCGAAGCCAGGCUCGUCGCCGUCACCACCCACGAAGCUGCGAGGAGCCGCUGUCGUGCUCGUGUCGCUGUGCGCCGUCGAGCUGCCCUCACCCUGAGCUGUCGAUCUGUUGCCACCGCUACAAGGGCUUGUCGCUGGAGCCACGACUGUCAAUGAGCUUCCGUCGCCACUGCCGUUCAAGCCGCUGCUGCCGUCGAUUUGGAGUUGCUGCGAUUGGAGCCACUAGUGGGGGUGAGUUGCUACUUCCCUGUUGCCGUCCUAAUCAUAUUCAGCGUCCACUGCCCUGAGCUAUUUCUGCCCUUGAGUUCGUUGAGUUCGGAUUCCUUGUGCUACUGUAACUGUCAUUACUGCUGUGGGAACCAACGUUUCUGUUUGGCUGCUGUUGAAGGUCUUCCACCAUCACUGGAGCUGCCCAGAAUCAUCGUGGAAGCUGCCAAGAUAUAUGUUAUCUGUUUUGAAGCAUGAAAACGAAGCAUUAUCAAAUGCAGAAAAGCGAGCAUCUGAUGAGGUUCAUAGUUUAUCUGAAAGGGUGCAGCGCCUGCAGGCUAGCCUAGGUACCAUACAGAGUGCUAAGGAAGUUCGAGAGGAACAAGUAAAGCUGCAAAAUUCUUGAGAGCCAAUUGAAUUUCUCUUUUCAAAGUACCAGAAGAAACAGCAGAGCUACUUGGGAAAUCUGACCUGUAUUUCUUUAGCCCUGAGCAUCCUCCAUUGACCGAACCAGCUCAGAAAGCCCUUGACUGGGCCGGAUGAGAAAUUGAAGUCAGGAUUUUGGGAACUCCAACUGAGGAGCAAUGGCCGGGAGUUACUUUGCUUCGUGAUUGGCAUACCUACCCAAAGUGGGAACCUCAGAACUUGGCGAGGACUGUGCCAACUUUGGGACCUGAUGGAGUAGACCUUCUCACGAAAAUGCUCUAGUAUAAUCCUGUUGAGAGAAUCUCUGCCAAGGCAGCACUUGAUCAUCCUUACUUUGACAGUCUUGACAAGUCUCAGUUUUAACAGCAGAUACUGUCCAAUGCUUUUGUGCAGAUGUUGUAUGUCAAUGAUAGUGAUAUAUGGAAGUAAAUGAAAGUUAACUCCUGGCAUGGAAUUUAAGCACAUGUGAGAUUGAUGUUGUUUGGUGUUAAGUAAAAGUUUGUCAUCAUCAUCUUGGUGAUAUGACCAGCUAAGUAGAAACUCUACUGAACCUUUAUCACUCUGUAUUACUCAUGUAGGCUGUGCAUGAUCACCAUUGUCCUUGUGUACUUGAAAAAAUGUCCUUGUGAGAUGUAUGAAUUUUUACAAUUAAUUUCA